This 211-nucleotide long non-coding RNA is filed under the name Carica papaya (papaya). RNAcentral describes it as "long non-coding RNA (CPAP_LNC016636)". Lineage: Eukaryota; Viridiplantae; Streptophyta; Magnoliopsida; Brassicales; Caricaceae. The record is from RNAcentral.
UAAACUAUUGGAAUGCUUUUCUCUCUUUUUUUCCUUUCUUUUAUUUUCUUAUAUGUAGUGGAGUGAUGAUAGAGCAUUAUUGAUGUAGUAUAUAUAGAAAUUCAGUCUAUUUAGGAUGACGAUUAAGUUUGCUAGCCACUCAAAUGUUUUUUAGAUUUCAAAUGAGAUUUUUGUAUGGGAUUUAAUAUAUAAGAAUACACGUUCGGAUUUU